GACAGAGGGUGCAAACGUUGUUCGGAUUUACUGGGCGUAAAGCGCGUGUAGGCGGCUUUGCAAGUCGGAUGUGAAAUCCCACGGCUCAACCGUGGAAGUGCAUCCGAAACUGCAUCGCUCGAGUCUCGGAGAGGAAGGUGGAAUGCUUGGUGUAGAGGUGAAAUUCGUAGAUAUCAAGCAGAACACCUGCGGCGAAGGCGGCCUUCUGGACGAUGACUGACGCUGAGACGCGAAAGCGUGGGAGCAAACAGG
RNAcentral lists this ribosomal RNA (252 nucleotides) under uncultured bacterium. RNAcentral's name for it is "partial 16S ribosomal RNA". It matches the Rfam family "Bacterial small subunit ribosomal RNA", at positions 524 to 776 of the family's 1533-position model. The record is from RNAcentral.